RNAcentral lists this ribosomal RNA (253 nucleotides) under uncultured bacterium. Its description in RNAcentral is "partial 16S ribosomal RNA". It matches the Rfam family "Bacterial small subunit ribosomal RNA", at positions 524 to 776 of the family's 1533-position model. The record is from RNAcentral.
UACGUAGGGGGCAAGCGUUGUCCGGAUUUAUUGGGCGUAAAGAGCGUGUAGGCGGCCAUGCAGGUCCGUUGUGAAAACUCGAGGCUCAACCUCGAGACGCCGAUGGAAACCGCAUGGCUAGAGUCCGGAAGAGGAGAGUGGAAUUCCUGGUGUAGCGGUGGAAUGCGCAGAUAUCAGGAGGAACACCAAUGGCGAAGGCAGAUCUCUGGGCCGUAACUGACGCUGAGGAGCGAAAGCAUGGGGAGCGAACAGG